RNAcentral lists this ribosomal RNA (497 nucleotides) under uncultured bacterium. RNAcentral's name for it is "partial 16S ribosomal RNA". It matches the Rfam family "Bacterial small subunit ribosomal RNA", at positions 28 to 507 of the family's 1533-position model. The record is from RNAcentral.
GAUGAACGCUGGCGGCGUGCCUAAUACAUGCAAGUCGAGCGAACGGACGAGAAGCUUGCUUUUCUGAUGUUAGCGGCGGACGGGUGAGUAACACGUGGAUAACCUACCUAUAAGACUGGGAUAACUUCGGGAAACCGGAGCUAAUACCGGAUAAUAUUUUGAACCGCAUGGUUCAAAAGUGAAAGACGGUCUUGCUGUCACUUAUAGAUGGAUCCGCGCUGCAUUAGCUAGUUGGUAAGGUAACGGCUUACCAAGGCAACGAUGCAUAGCCGACCUAAGAGGGUGAUCGGCCACACUGGAACUGAGACACGGUCCAGACUCCUACGGGAGGCAGCAGUAGGGAAUCUUCCGCAAAGGGCGAAAGCCUGACGGAGCAACGCCGCGUGAGUGAUGAAGGUCUUCGGAUCGUAAAACCCUGUUAUUAGGGAAGAACAUAUGUGUAAGUAACUGUGCACAUCUUGACGGUACCUAAUCAGAAAGCCACGGCUAACUACGUG